GACGAACGCUGGCGGCGUGCUUAACACAUGCAAGUCGAACGGUGAAGGUGGAGCUUGCUCCGCCGGAUCAGUGGCGAACGGGUGAGUAACACGUGGGCAACCUGCCCCAGACUUCGGGAUAACUCCUCGAAAGAGGCGCUAAUACCGGAUACGAGUUCUGCAGGCAUCUGCGGAAUUGGAAGGUUUUUCGGUCUGGGAUGGGCCCGCGGCCUAUCAGCUUGUUGGUGAGGUAACGGCUCACCAAGGCGACGACGGGUAGCCGGCCUGAGAGGGCGACCGGCCACACUGGGACUGAGACACGGCCCAGACUCCUACGGGAGGCAGCAGUGGGGAAUAUUGCGCAAUGGGCGAAAGCCUGACGCAGCAACGCCGCGUGCGGGAUGAAGGCCUUCGGGUUGUAAACCGCUUUCAGCAGGGAAGAAGCGAAAGCGACGGUACCUGCAGAAGAAGCACCGGCUAACUACGUGCCAGCCGCCGCCGUAA
Molecule: ribosomal RNA, 483 nt
Filed under: uncultured bacterium
Lineage: Bacteria
Description: partial 16S ribosomal RNA
Rfam family: Bacterial small subunit ribosomal RNA
Source: RNAcentral